RNAcentral lists this ribosomal RNA (413 nucleotides) under uncultured bacterium. RNAcentral describes it as "bacterial SSU rRNA". It matches the Rfam family "Bacterial small subunit ribosomal RNA", at positions 64 to 507 of the family's 1533-position model. The record is from RNAcentral.
GAACGAGAAAGCAGGAGCAAUCUUGUGAGUAAAGUGGCGUACGGGUGAGUAACACGUGGAUCAUCUACCCUCUUGUGGGGGAUAACUUUGGGAAACCGAAGCUAAUACCGCAUAAGUCCGAGAGGAGAAAGCAGCAAUGCGCAGGAGGAGGAGUCCGCGGCCGAUUAGCUAGUUGGUAGGGUAAAAGCCUACCAAGGCUACGAUCGGUAGCCGGCCUGAGAGGGCACACGGCCACACUGGCACUGAAACACGGGCCAGACUCCUACGGGAGGCAGCAGUGGGGAAUCUUGCACAAUGGGGGCAACCCUGAUGCAGCGACGCCGCGUGAACGAUGAAGCCCUUCGGGGUGUAAAGUUCUUUCGGCAGGGAAGAUUAUGACGGUACCUGCAGAAGCAGCUGCGGCUAACUACGUG